AUGAGAAAAGUUGAGGAUAUUUUAGGCUUAACCUGCAGUCGAAAGCCCCGCAGGGGUAGGGCAGACGGGUGAGUAACGCGUGGGAAUCUACCCAGUUCUUCGGAAUAACUGAGGGAAACUUCAGCUAAUACCGGAUACGCCCUACGGGGGAAAGAUUUAUCGGAAUUGGAUGAGCCCGCGUAAGAUUAGCUAGUUGGUGAGGUAAUGGCUCACCAAGGCGACGAUCUUUAGCUGGUCUGAGAGGAUGAUCANCCACACUGGGACUGAGACACGGCCCAGACUCCUACGGGAGGCAGCAGUGGGGAAUAUUGGACAAUGGGCGCAAGCCUGAUCCAGCCAUGCCGCGUGAGUGAUGAAGGCCUUAGGGUUGUAAAGCUCUUUCAGUAGGGAAGAUAAUGACGGUACCUACAGAAGAAGCCCCGGCUAACUUCGUGCCAGCAGCCGCGGUAAUACGAAGGGGGCUAGCGUUGUUCGGAUUUACUGGGCGUAAAGCGCACGUAGGCGGAUUGUUAAGUUAGGGGUGAAAUCCCAGGGCUCAACCCUGGAACUGGCUUUAAUACUGGCAAUCUAGAGUCCGGAAGAGGUGAGUGGAACUCCUAAUGUAGAGGUGGAAUUCGUAGAUAUUAGGAAAGAACACCCAGUGGCGAAGGCGGCUCACUGGUCCGGUACUGACGCUGAGGUGCGAAAGCGUGGGGAGCAAACAGGAUUAGAAACCCUGGUAGUCCACGCCGUAAACUAUGAGAGCUACCGGUGGGGAAAUUUACUUCUCAGUGGCGCAACUAACGCAUUAAGCUCUCCGCCUGGGGGAGUAAGGGUCCCAAGAUUAAACCUCCAGGGAAUUGACGGGGGCCCCCCACAAACUGUGGGAACAAGGGGGUUUAAAUUCCAAG
Molecule: ribosomal RNA, 890 nt
Filed under: proteobacterium enrichment culture clone CTBE CDB1009C01
Lineage: Bacteria; Pseudomonadati; Pseudomonadota
Description: bacterial SSU rRNA
Rfam family: Bacterial small subunit ribosomal RNA
Source: RNAcentral